Molecule: long non-coding RNA, 1906 nt
Filed under: Nicotiana benthamiana
Lineage: Eukaryota; Viridiplantae; Streptophyta; Magnoliopsida; Solanales; Solanaceae
Description: long non-coding RNA (NBEN_LNC037866)
Source: RNAcentral
UUUUCAAAGAAAAUGGCAUAUUAAUUAUAAUUAUGCAAACUAAACCACACAAAAAUAUAUUAUUAAAACGUAAGAGUUGAAACGAGUUUAGCGGAUUGCCGAACAACUUCUUGAAAAUUAAAAAUCGUUGAACACUCAAAAAAUAGUCGUUGGACACGUUUAGGCCAGCGAGGCUCGCUAGGACCGGCUGACGGUCCCAGACCUAGCGGUCCCGGGUUCACGGGCUAAUGGUCUCGGACCGGCCCGUUACGGGCCUAAAGCUAACACCAGGCCCAGGACCGCACCACCAGGCUCGUUAGACCCGGCAGGACCGCGGAUCCGGUCCGAUCCGGUUCAGGCCACAGUGCACUGUUAACCUCAACAAAACCCAACGAAAAAAAUAGGAGCUAAACGCACAGACGGACAAACUCAUUAGUACACUAUGUUUCACCCAAUUUUCCAAGCUAACGAGAACAGCCUUUACGGAGACCUUACAAGAGAAAAGGUUUACAAGCAAAGAAAAUCAUGCAUAAAGAAAGAGAUGAAAAUUGAUCUUAAAUAUAACUUCCACAAAUCCAUAAGACAAAGACGUUAGGCCACUAACCGGAACUCGACGCAAUAACUCAUAUGAACCUCGUCGGUGACGACCUCGAACACAGAGCUUCACGAAAUUAAUGGAGGAUUUUGGAUCUGUUUUUCUUUAAAAAAAUGGCACCGAUUUGAGCUUAAAUUAUUUAACUCUCAUGAGUGUUUUUGGAGGAAGAAAAUCAGCAGCUGCUGCUGCCUCUUGGCUGGAAUUUUUGUUGUUUUUGUAUGCGGAUUUAAGGUAGUUUAAUGAGAUUUUUGGCGCUGUGGUCGUUGCUAAUUUUUGUGGCUUCUUUUGUUGAAGUUUGGUCUUGUCUUCGCUAGAUUUGAGGGGUUGGAAAGUGAUGGUUUUAGGUGGUUUUUUGCAGCUGUAUUUGGGUGAAGAAAGGGGAGCUUCACAUUGCUAUAAAAAAUGGUGACAAUAGUUGUAUUUUUGAGUGGAGACAGAGGUGAUAUUUGAUGGAUUUUGCGUAUUUUCCUCAAUGAACGAAGAUUUUUGGCUCUUCCUUCUAUGGUGUUUUCCUAUGCUAAAGAAGAAGCAGAUAGGGUUUGUCCGUUUGUGCUGCGACAGAUCAGUGUUUAAUAGAGUGUGCGUUUGUUUUGGGUCUGUGCUCUAACCAGAGUAGCACAAAAGUUGAAACACUACUUGUGGUCGUAUACCUCAUCUCACGCAUGAACCCAAAGCCCCAAAAAUGUCGGCGACAUCCUUCUUCACAAAAGAACGGCAAGGGCCAAAAUUCAUCAAAAAAAAAACCUUAAUCUCCAAGGCCUCACCCACCACUUCCCUUGAGAAAUUCUGGCCGCCUACACCUUUAAGAGAAAGAGAGCACCAGCUAAAACAAAAUCUUCCUAGGUCAGCAACGCUUUUCGACAUCUACGUCGAACAGUUGUCACGCAAAUUUCAAUUCCUUAAACUAUGGGAAUCUUCAAUCUUCACUUCCAUUGGAACAAUUCAUUUCCACACCUGCUCAAUCUAUAUAAGCCAUGGUUUCUUCUCCUAAAGAUUUUAUUUUUUGAGUGAGGUCGUUUUGGUUUUGAGCUUUCCAGCGACGAUUCGAGCUCCGGCCAGUAAUUUUGUUUUGAACGUGUCGUUAUCCAUUUUCAAGUUGAAGUUUUCCUAUAAAAGGUUAGAACUCUUUCGAGAGAAAGGUCCACUCAUGGCUUCUUAUUUUAAAUUAAUGUAUAUCUUUGCAGCUUUAUGUAUGUGGAUGAAUUUUCUUUGGUUUCAUAAUUUUCUCUUUUGUUGCUGCCUAUAGUAAUACUUUUCAUGGAUUAACAUGCUAUUUUUUUUAAAAUAAUUUUGAGGCUUAAAACAGCAAAAAGGGCAUAUGUGUUUGAGCGG